CGCUAUGCUAAGCAUUGACCAAGCCUGAAGAGGGCACAGAGAUGAGGCCCAGCAGCCUAUAAAAAUAUCGUUUUUCUAAAAUUCUCUAAAAAUGCAUGUGCUUCUGGUUUUGGCAGCUUGCAUCUAAAAUUGGACCAAUUAAAGAGAUUAGUUUGGUCCCUGUGUGAAAAUGAUGUAUAAAUUCUUGAAGAGGGUCAUCUUUCUGGCCAUUACCUGGAUUUGGGAGGCACAACUAAUCCUCAGCUGAAAACAGUCCUACGGCUGUGCGAAGACACUGUCUGUUAAGGACCCUCUAUUCUCCAGUCAACCCAGAGACCUUUUCCCAUUCUCUUCCUCAUACAUUCUUCUAGAAAGUUGGUGGACCACUGGGAGCAGGACUGUGUGAUAGAUCUUCCUACAAAGUUUAGAGAGCUUCCGGGCUAGAGCAGAAGAAGGGCACCAAGCCAGCAUGCAACAGGAGGCUGCGGACUCCCUUAUCUCCGUUUGUGUGUGUAAGCCCAAGGUGCAGAAUUGAGGGAAAACCACAGACUAUUAGUUACAAUGGAAAUCCAGACACGAUGGCUUCAGCUGGGCUGUGAAGGAAAGGGCAGUGUGAUGUGGCUUUCUUGGAAGACACAAGUUCAUACUCACCCUGAUGGGGCGCUGAAAACAGAUGGAAGAAAUGAUUCCGUCUGAGAGAGGCUGGGAAGGCCUCUGUGUUGGGCAGUUGGCCUGUUUGUGUGGUGGAGUAAGAUUCUGAACACCACAGACCUCCAGAGAAAAUGACUGCUAACAGACUCUCCUCCAUUCCCAGAGGAGGUUCUGUUUCCUGCCUCCUGGCAGGUGGCCUUUGCGACUCAGUCCUGACAGGAAGGAAGGGUUCCUAUGUCUAAGAAGUAGGAUCAGUGUGCAGGGAGAUGACUGCCACCCUUAGAGGCAAUAUUUACUUGCAGAUGAGUUAGAUUUGCAAGUGAGAGACUCUCACAUCUGCCUUCCUUCAGCAAAUUCAUCCAGUGCUCCAGGCAUGUGAUUCCAAGGCUCCUCACUGGAGACAGGAAGAGAAGCAAUGGGGUGGGAGGGGGGCUCUCUGAUGGCCCUGUAGAGCAUUCAGGUCAAUCUCACAGAACACAAAAUGUGAGUCUAUCUCAGUUUUUUAAAUUAAAAAAAUAAAUAAGGGCCAGUGAGAUAGCUCAGCCAAUAAAGAUACU
Molecule: long non-coding RNA, 1187 nt
Organism: Apodemus sylvaticus (European woodmouse)
Lineage: Eukaryota; Metazoa; Chordata; Mammalia; Rodentia; Muridae
Exons: 3
Source: RefSeq, a predicted model, not a curated record